Molecule: long non-coding RNA, 3852 nt
Organism: Gallus gallus (chicken)
Lineage: Eukaryota; Metazoa; Chordata; Aves; Galliformes; Phasianidae
Exons: 3
Source: RefSeq, a predicted model, not a curated record
AAAUCAGCUGCAUGUGGUGGGUUUUUGUUCACCUUCUCUCCAGCUGUAUCCAGUAAUCCCAGCUCCAUGGACUUGCUUGUACCUUUUGAGCUAAAUGCUGUAGCUAUGCUGCUAGUCCCUUGAAGUCCUAGCUGUGCUACAAGGGCAGCCCUGGGGUAUCUGCUCAUGGUUGUUCUAGCCCCAUUCUUGUGCAGGGCUGCUUUGAGCGAGGAUGGGCAACGUGGAGCUCCAGGGGCCUUUCUCCCAGAUUCCUCUUUUUCGUGCUUGGGCGAGCCGUGUGCCUGGGGACCCCAGCCAUGGAUGGUCCCAGAAACCUGAAGAAGGUGAUGGGAGCCUUGUCCUUUCAGCUAUUUCACCACUACCAUGAUCAUAUUCACAGCAUCACUUUGGACGUUUUGGGGCUGCAGCUGCACUUCCCACUUCUCUUAUAAACGUGUUGACCAAAGAAUUACAAGCCCUAUUCAACAUGACCUUUGCAGUUCCCGUCCUCCCUGUGCACACUUCCCACUAGACUUAUAUAUUCUUUUCUCCGGCUGUGUGGGUUAUUUUUUUCUUUCCUUUGAAAAAAAGAGGUGAUGGGGGGAGGGUCUGAAGAUAGCCUGGUGUUUAGUGGGGUCUCCGGGGGCACUGAGUGGCUCCAGCCUUAUCCAUAUGUUGGUAACUCCUGUAGUACAGCCAAUGAGAAGCGCCCCAGGGCCUUCAUUGCUGAGCAGCUUCCUGAAUACCUGGCUCAUGAAGUGCCGAAAUAAUCAUAACGAAUCAUUUAAUAUGUCAGAACACGGCAAUUACUCUCCACUUGAAUAAAAACUUGUCAUAAUUCUCCCUUCAAGGCAGCCGCCUUGGCCCCGAGGUCUGGGUGCUGAAGUUUGCUCGGUGUGCUGUUGUUUAUUUCUUUUUCCACACUGCUAUGAAUGGGUGGAAGUAAAAUAAAAUAAAAUAAAAAAAAACUUACUUAUAAGUUUUCAUAUGAAAAAAAUGAAGGAAAAAAAAGACUUUGGAAGCCAUGUCCGGACUCUGGAAAGGAGGGUGUAGAGAAGGGGGGAUGAAGGCCUGCCCUGCCAGGAUUUAGUGCAGGCCAACCCGCUGCUCCAUUACUGCCACUAGCAGCAUGACCCAUUUUCUACGUAACAAACCUGUGUGCAUGGCCCAAGAGAGACCGUGUGAGAAAGAAAGUUUUUUAAGCAUUGCUCUUUCAAACUGCUAAGGGUAGGGUUUGUCCACGAACAGUGGUGCUGUCUGCACCUGAGCGCCUCAGCUGGAGAGGGAUGAUGGCAUCUUUUUUUUCAAGAAGCUUUGAAAAUCCUUAGUGAACACGAGGGCAUCUUGACAUGGGUGAGUGCACCGAGCACUGUUAAACCAUAGCAUCGCUCAUGGUUUCAAAGUAAAGGUCAGAGGGUGAAAGGAAAGCACAUGCUUUUGGUUUUGAAAUGGCUGUCCAGAAUAGGGCCAGGUCUGUUGGUAGGGCGAUGGAAAUGUCUGUCUGUGGCGUGGGGCUGUUGAGCUGCUCUGUUUGCGCAGGCAUUAGACUUCAUGAGAGAGGAAACGAUCUAAAAAUGUUUCUCUCCCCCUACUGAAGGGGAUGUGUUCACAGGCUGCUGCACGUUCCUACUUAAAAAGAACCAGAACUCACCCUACGCAACCUUGAAAAUCCCAGGAAGAGCACACUGAGAAACAUGGAAGUGUUUCCAUGGGAACUCUUACUAAUAAAACGAACCUCGGUUCUCAAUUCCUGCACCAAACUACAAACAGUGAACACUACAAAGGGAACCGGUAAAGAGCAGAAUAAACCAGCAAAGCUGCUAAAUGAGGCACGUGUGUGCCUCCCCACAAAAAUCAAGCAUAUAAACAAAAGCCCUCAGGAAAAUGAGGGGAAAAAAAUAGAGAAGGUCGUUUUAAUUAUAGCACAUCCAGCCAACGUAAACCCCAUGGAUUGUGUGAAAUCAGUUUUGUUCUUCUGGUACGCAGCAGGAAGCUCUGUAGCAGAUCAAAUGUGUUCAGGGAGGCUGUCUUGCUAAUUGCCGCUCCUGGCUGAGCCAAAGCAAACUGUUUAGACAAAGGAGAGAAUUCACUUUUUAUUUAGUAUGAAUUAUGAAGUAGGAUGGGUGGAUGGGCUUCACAGUAACACUGCGUUUCCUGGGGAAAAAUGUGUAGCUCUAAGCCUGUGAAAUAAUUGGAGAAUUAACCCCUUGCUUCAGGCUGGAACCCCAACACAUGCCUGUGUUUAAGCACAAGAUGAAUGCUGUCUUGAAUAAGGUUUCUCCUUUGAUUUCAGCAGAUGAUAGAUCUCCACUCACAGCCCAAUUUUAUUUUUGUAUGUUCUCACUUUACGCUGGUGUUGAAGCAAUGUGUUCUUUUAUUUCUGUUGUGACUCCUAUACUUUCUCUUGUGUUUUAAUUUUGAAGCCUGUUACGGCCAUUUCAGAACAUCGCUUUGGCUUCUCACUAAAGAUCUUGGAGUUUUGCAUUGGGUAUUUCAGGGCUGCAAUAUGUUGCUAGGACUGCUGGUAGCCCACUAAACAUUAACUGGAGGUUGUAUUGUCCUCCUGUGCUUUUUUCCUGCAGCAUCCAAGUGAUGUGCUCUAACAGUAGCUUAGCUGAGGGUUAGCAUGUGUAGUCAUGGACAAUUAAAAGCUGAAGUGGCAGUAGUGGCUAACAGAAGCGAGCUGUUCUCAGAUGUGAGGAACCAGUGCUGGAGCCACUGAUGCUCAGGCUGAGUGAUUGCAUGUCUCCAUAGGAAGUGGGAAUGGCGAUGAUGAACUUCCAGGUGUGUGUGGCCAGGUUUGUAGGAAGGGCAUGAAGAGGAGGAAUAGCAAUUGGCUAGGGCUGAAGGCUGACUCUUAUCAUUGUGUAACAAUACAGUAAUUGCUCUGGGUAUGCUUUCUUUUAUGUUGUUUUGAAUAUGCGUAAUGCAAACACUGCUUCUUGGAGCCCUUCUGCUCUGCGUGGUGCCAUCUGCAAAGACAGAUCUUCCAUACCAAGGGAAGAGGACUGCUCUCCAAGGGAACAAGAAGUCACAAAUAGCAUAAGGACCUCUAAAUGUCAGUGUUUGUGGUUCACUUUCUGUUUCACUGAACCAUAAUUCCAUCUGUCCUCUCUCUUAGCUGCCUCUCAACUCUGCUGUCCAUCAGCUCCCUGCAAAAGCAUCUGUUGGUGCACGUGGAAUCACCCCUGUGUGCCAGGGAACAGCCAACAGAUCUGUAGGGCUGGAAGGAGAGCAAAAGUUCAACAGCUUUUCAUCUGAAUACAUUAAAAGAAUAUAUAUAUAUAUUCACAAUGCACGAUAGAAAAAGUUCUAUUGAACUUUUGUACAGUAUAGGAAGAGAACUGUAUAAAUCGUUAGCGUCUUACCUGUCAGGAUCAGCAUGUGAAGACAUGAAGACAGCUUCGCUGGAGGAGCAAAGCUGCAAGUUAGCACAUUACUGUUAGUUUCCAUGCAGGAAAACAUCCACUCAGUAUGCAACCAGAGAACAUCGAGGAGGACCAGUAAUCCCCUUGCUGCACCCCAUGGGGAGCCUGGCCAGCCCGUCCCCAGCCUGAGGGUUUGAUCAUAGAAUAAAAUCAUUAAGGUUGCCACUUCUUCCCAUCUUUUCUCUACUUCUUCCACCUUUUCCAACGUUUUCCCAAAUUUCUCCAUGUUUUCCUUAUUUUCCCACCUUUUCCCAUGUUUUUCCAUGCAUGCUUUCCCAUUUUUUUUCCAGUGCUAUCCCAACUUUUCCCUUGCUUUCCCACUUUCCCCCUAUUUUUUUAUGCUUUCCCAACUUUUGUUUGACUUCUGCUUCCUUUUCCCUUGCUUUCCCACCUUUUUUUUCCAGUUUUUCCCAAUUUUUCUCAAAUUUUCUCAUCCUUUCCCAAG